This 266-nucleotide signal recognition particle RNA is filed under the name Clostridiaceae bacterium. RNAcentral describes it as "signal recognition particle sRNA large type". It matches the Rfam family "Bacterial large signal recognition particle RNA". Rfam says of the family: The signal recognition particle (SRP) is a universally conserved ribonucleoprotein involved in the co-translational targeting of proteins to membranes. The record is from RNAcentral. Lineage: Bacteria; Bacillati; Bacillota; Clostridia; Eubacteriales; Clostridiaceae.
UCGUGCUAGACGGGGAGGUAGCGGUGCCCUGUACCUGCAACCCGCUAUAGCAGGGUUGAACUCCUGCCCAAGGCAUGUAAUUGUGAAGCCAGGGCUAUAAUUUAAAGGCGAUGAAGAUUGGGUCUUGCGCAAUUCAAGGCUGUGAACCCCGUCAGGUCUGGAAGGAAGCAGCGGUAAGCGGUUAUCUGGAUGUGCCGCGAGGGUGCCUGAUCAGAGUCUUUGGUUAUGGUACCGUUUGUAAUUGCAUGUCGACGGCAGGUGCACGA